Molecule: ribosomal RNA, 253 nt
Filed under: uncultured bacterium
Lineage: Bacteria
Description: partial 16S ribosomal RNA
Rfam family: Bacterial small subunit ribosomal RNA
Source: RNAcentral
UACAGAGGGGGCCAGCGUUAUUCGGAAUUAUUGGGCGUAAAGGGUGCGUAGGCGGCUUUGUAAGUCAGUGGUGAAAUAUGGCAGCUCAACUGUCAGGGUGCCAUUGAUACUGCGGAGCUUGAGUACAGAUGAGGUAGGCGGAAUUGACGGUGUAGCGGUGAAAUGCUUAGAUAUCGUCAAGAACACCGAUAGCGAAGGCAGCUUACUGGGCUGUAACUGACGCUGAGGCACGAAAGUGUGGGGAUCAAACAGG